RNA transcript from Musa acuminata AAA Group (dessert banana), 2036 nucleotides. It is a transcript of the gene named serine/threonine protein phosphatase 2A 57 kDa regulatory subunit B' beta isoform-like, with no coding region annotated. NCBI's taxonomy places the organism in Eukaryota, Viridiplantae, Streptophyta, Magnoliopsida, Zingiberales, Musaceae. The record is from RefSeq and is a predicted model, not a curated record. The transcript is spliced from 4 exons.
CCUCUUCUCCUUCUCUCAUGUCCCCUUUGAUCUCUCGAAUCCUUUUCCUCUCUUCUCUCUUGUCUCUUCAAGCACAUUGUUCUUCUUCCCUAAAUACUAUUAAGUUCAUAAAUUUGUUUUUCUUCUUCGGUAUAUUAAGUGUUAUUUCUUCUUCUGGUUUAAUAUGAGAUUAUUCUCCUAAUUAAUCUUUAAGGUCCAUCGCCAUCGCCGGAGGUUUCCAAUCAGAGUUAGGGUUUUUGAGGGCCGGGAGUGGCGCCGGCGAAGGAGAGGAUGUUGAAUAGGAUCAUCAAGCGGGGGGGCCUCAAGCUCCCCAAAACCGACGCCAACGAGCCGCCUGCCGUCGUCGUCGGCCACGUCUCCCGCCCCGCCGCGGGCUGUGACACCUCCUCCGUCCCCUCGAUCGAGGCUCUCCCACUCUUCCGUGACGUCCCCGCGGGGGAGCGGCAAUCCCUCUUCAUCCGUAAGCUCCGGUUGUGCGCCGUCGUCUUCGACUUCUCCGACAUGAUCACCCUCCGCUGCGCCCGUGAGCGGGAGGUCAAGCGGCGGAACCUCGCGGAGCUUAUUGACUUCGUCCAGUCCAGCUCCGACCGCCUCGCCGAGCCUGUGCAGGAGGAGCUGGUCCGCACCAUCGCCACCAACAUCUUCCGCUGCCUGCCCCCGGCCGCCCACGAGAACACCGGCUCCGAGGCCGCCGCCGCCGCCGCCGAUCCCGAGGAAGAGAACAUCUUUCUCGACCCCGCCUGGCCCCACCUCCAGCUUGUCUACGAGCUCCUCCUCCGCUACGUCGUCUCCUCCGACACGGACGCCAAGGUCGCCAAGCGCUUCAUCGACCACGCCUUCGUGCUUCGCGUCCUCGACCUCUUCGACUCCGGGGACCCUCGCGAGCGCGAGUACCUCAAGACCAUCCUCCACCGCAUCUACGGCAAGUUCAUGGUCCACCGCCCCUUCAUCCGCAAGGCUAUCAGCAACAUCUUCUACCGGUUCAUCUUCGAGACAGAGCAGCACAACGGCAUCGGUGAGCUGUUGGAUAUCCUCGGCAGCAUCAUCAACGGGUUCGCACUGCCCAUGAAGGAGGAGCACAAGCUGUUCCUCGUGCGGGUGCUCAUUCCCCUGCACAAGACGAAGCCGGCAGGGGUUUACCACCAUCAGCUCGCCUACUGCACAACGCAGUUCGUGGAGAAGGACUGCAAGCUUGCGUACACUGUGAUCCGAGGGCUGUUGAAGUAUUGGCCACUGACCAACUGCCAGAAGGAGUUGCUGUUCCUCGGGGAGUUGGAGGAGGUACUGGAGACCACGCAGCCCACAGAGUUCCAGCAGUGUAUGGUUCCGUUGUUCAAGCAGAUCUCCCGCUGCCUCAAUAGCUCUCACUUCCAGUUAUUCGGAGCAAGAAAGUUCAAUAUAUAUAUUGUGUCGCAAGUAACAUCUCAGACAUUGCCUCUAAAUGAGUGAUAUUGCUGCCGUGAUCAGGGGGUUCAAACACAUGAUUUAUGAUCCUGAGGUUUCGGUUGCUGAACGGGCUCUCUAUCUUUGGAACAACGAUCACAUCGUCAGCUUGAUCUCGCAAAACUGCAGUAUCAUUUUGCCAGUCAUAUUCGAAGCACUGGAGAAGAACAUGCAGAGCCACUGGAACCAAGCAAUUCAUGGCCUAACCGCAAAUGUCCGAAAGAUGUUUCAAGACAUGGAUGGUGAUCUUUUUGAGGAUUGCCGACAGCAGUAUAUAGAGAGAGUAGCAAGUGCCAAAACCUUGGAAGAAGAACGAGAGCUGGCAUGGAGACAACUAGAAGCUGUAGUUGCAGCCAAAGCUGCUGGAGAAGCAAUCAUUCUUGUCAAUUAGCCUAGCUUGCAGCCUCUCUCUCUCUCUCUCUCUCUCUCUCUCUCUCUCUCUCUCUGUAUAUAUACACAUGUAUCUUCUUUUUUCCUUCAUGUUUUUCUGUGUAAUGUAAUUUAAUGUAUCAUUUGAGGAUUUGUCUGCCUGUGAUGAUGAAUUGUUUUUGAGAUUAUUGACUUUUCAGAGAGGUUGUAUUGCCUCUCCUGCU